Molecule: long non-coding RNA, 457 nt
Filed under: Ananas comosus (pineapple)
Lineage: Eukaryota; Viridiplantae; Streptophyta; Magnoliopsida; Poales; Bromeliaceae
Description: long non-coding RNA (ACOM_LNC007852)
Source: RNAcentral
AAAUUAUGUAUGAAUUUAAAAAAUUUUAAAUGCAAAUAUAUUAUACAUUUCGUCAAAAAAAAAAAAUCAUUAAACUAGCAUACUGAAAAAAUAAAACGUAUGGAAAAAAAUUUAUUGAUCCUAACAAAUAUUAUUAAAUCCUAUCAGAUUUUAUGAAUAGAUAUUUUUGAAAAAAAAAUUUAAAAAAAUGUGUAUGAAAAAAAAAAUCACACUUUGUUUAUUUUUUUAAUAGGUGAGUCGUCUCCAACGGCUGCAGUUGGUACUACAGCUAAUUUAGCUACAGUACCAACUGCUGUAGUUGGACCUUCUCGUGUAGAUACAACUGUCGCAGUUGGACCUAACUAUAUCAAACAAAACAAAAAUUUAAUAAAUACAUGCAUUUUCAACUGCAGUGCAUUUAGAAAUAUAUGCAACCAAACAGUCCCUAAAAGGAACACAAAAUAAAUUGCCUUUUCUA